This 511-nucleotide ribosomal RNA is filed under the name uncultured bacterium. Its description in RNAcentral is "partial 16S ribosomal RNA". It matches the Rfam family "Bacterial small subunit ribosomal RNA", at positions 28 to 523 of the family's 1533-position model. The record is from RNAcentral.
GACGAACGCUGGCGGCGUGCCUAAUACAUGCAAGUCGAGCGGAAGUUGAAGAGCUUGCUCUUCAACUUUAGCGGCGGACGGGUGAGUAACACGUGGGCAACCUGCCCUGCAGAUCGGGAUAACUCCGGGAAACCGGUGCUAAUACCGAAUAGCUUUGGGUCCCUCCUGGGACCUAACGGAAAGACGGUUUCGGCUGUCACUGCAGGAUGGGCCCGCGGCGCAUUAGCUAGUUGGUGGGGUAACGGCCCACCAAGGCGACGAUGCGUAGCCGACCUGAGAGGGUGAUCGGCCACACUGGGACUGAGACACAGCCCAGACUCCUACGGGAGGCAGCAGUAGGGAAUCUUCCGCAAUGGACGCAAGUCUGACGGAGCAACGCCGCGUGAGUGAUGAAGGUUUUCGGAUCGUAAAACUCUGUUGCGAGGGAAGAAACCGUGCCAAUUAACUACUGGCACCUUGACGGUACCUCGCCAGAAAGCCACGGCUAACUACGUGCCAGCCGCCGCAGUAA